This 259-nucleotide ribosomal RNA is filed under the name uncultured bacterium. RNAcentral's name for it is "partial 16S ribosomal RNA". It matches the Rfam family "Bacterial small subunit ribosomal RNA", at positions 29 to 312 of the family's 1533-position model. The record is from RNAcentral.
AACGAACGCUGGCGGCAUGCCUAACACAUGCAAGUCGAACGAGAUCCUUCGGGGUCUAGUGGCGCACGGGUGCGUAACGCGUGGGAAUCUGCCCAAAGGUACGGAAUAACUCUCCGAAAGGGGUGGCUAAUACCGUAUGAGGUCGCAAGACCAAAGAUUUAUUCGCCUUUGGUAUGAGCCCGCGUUGGAUUAGCUAGUUGGUGGGAAGGCCGUACCAAGGCGACGAUCCAUAGCUGGCUUGAGAGGAUGAUCAGCCACA